Molecule: unclassified non-coding RNA, 540 nt
Filed under: Fusarium oxysporum
Lineage: Eukaryota; Fungi; Ascomycota; Sordariomycetes; Hypocreales; Nectriaceae
Description: sequence contains 18S rRNA gene, ITS1, 5.8S rRNA gene, ITS2, 28S rRNA gene
Rfam family: 5.8S ribosomal RNA (bases 190-343)
Source: RNAcentral
GUAACAAGGUCUCCGUUGGUGAACCAGCGGAGGGAUCAUUACCGAGUUUACAACUCCCAAACCCCUGUGAACAUACCACUUGUUGCCUCGGCGGAUCAGCCCGCUCCCGGUAAAACGGGACGGCCCGCCAGAGGACCCCUAAACUCUGUUUCUAUAUGUAACUUCUGAGUAAAACCAUAAAUAAAUCAAAACUUUCAACAACGGAUCUCUUGGUUCUGGCAUCGAUGAAGAACGCAGCAAAAUGCGAUAAGUAAUGUGAAUUGCAGAAUUCAGUGAAUCAUCGAAUCUUUGAACGCACAUUGCGCCCGCCAGUAUUCUGGCGGGCAUGCCUGUUCGAGCGUCAUUUCAACCCUCAAGCACAGCUUGGUGUUGGGACUCGCGUUAAUUCGCGUUCCUCAAAUUGAUUGGCGGUCACGUCGAGCUUCCAUAGCGUAGUAGUAAAACCCUCGUUACUGGUAAUCGUCGCGGCCACGCCGUUAAACCCCAACUUCUGAAUGUUGACCUCGGAUCAGGUAGGAAUACCCGCUGAACCUAAGCAUA